RNAcentral lists this ribosomal RNA (116 nucleotides) under Oceanobacillus jeddahensis. Lineage: Bacteria; Bacillati; Bacillota; Bacilli; Caryophanales; Bacillaceae. The record is from RNAcentral.
UCUGGUAGCGAUAGCGAAGAGGUCACACCUGUUCCCAUGCCGAACACAGAAGUUAAGUUCUUCAGCGCCGAUGGUAGUUGGGGGCUUCCCCCUGCGAGAGUAGGACGUCGCCAGGC